This 484-nucleotide ribosomal RNA is filed under the name uncultured bacterium. RNAcentral's name for it is "partial 16S ribosomal RNA". It matches the Rfam family "Bacterial small subunit ribosomal RNA", at positions 30 to 507 of the family's 1533-position model. The record is from RNAcentral.
AUUGAACGCUGGCGGCAGGCCUAACACAUGCAAGUCGAGCGGAAGAACAGUGCUUGCUUCUGGAUUCAGCUGCGGACGGGUGGGUAAGUCCUGGAAAUCUGCCUGUUUACUUUUUAGAAGGGCAUAAAGCGGGGGCACAUACGCCAUUACUGCUUACGACGUAAGGGUGGGAGCUUGGGAUCUUCCGCCAUUGCGCGAUCCGAUGUCGGAUUAGCUAGUUGGUGGGGUAAAGGCCUACCAAGGCGACGAUCCGUAGCUGGUCUGAGAGGAUGAUCAGCCACACUGGAACUGAGACACGGUCCAGACUCCUACGGGAGGCAGCAGUGGGGAAUAUUGGACAAUGGGCGCAAGCCUGAUCCAGCCAUGCCGCGUGUGUGAAGAAGGUCUUCGGAUUGUAAAGCCCUUUUAGUUGGGAAGAAAAGCAGUAGGUUAAUACCUCGCUGUUUUGACGGUACCCAAAGAAUAAGCACCGGCUAACUUCGUG